GAACGCUGGCGGCGUGCUUAACACAUGCAAGUCGUACGCGAAAGGGACUUCGGUCCCGAGUAAAGUGGCGCACGGGUGAGUAACACGUGGAUGAUCUGCCUCUAUGAUGGGGAUAACAGUUGGAAACGACUGCUAAUACCGAAUACGCUCAUGAUGAACGUUGUGAGGAAAGGUGGCCUCUGCUUGCAAGCUAUCGCAUAGAGAUGAGUCCGCGUCCCAUUAGCUCGUUGGUGGGGUAACGGCCUACCAAGGCAACGAUGGGUAGCCGAUCUGAGAGGAUGAUCGGCCACACUGGAACUGAAACACGGUCCAGACUCCUACGGGAGGCAGCAGUGGGGAAUAUUGCGCAAUGGGCGAAAGCCUGACGCAGCGACGCCGCGUGAGGGAUGAAGGUCUUCGGAUCGUAAACCUCUGUCAGAAGGGAAGAAACUGGGGUGUUCUAAUCAGCAUCCCACUGACGGUACCUUCAAAGGAAGCACCGGCUAACUCCGUGCCAGCAGCCGCGGUAAUACGGAGGGUGCAAGCGUUAAUCGGAAUCACUGGGCGUAAAGCGCACGUAGGCUGUUAUGUAAGUCAGGGGUGAAAGCCCACGGCUCAACCGUGGAACUGCCCUUGAUACUGCACGACUNGAAUCCGGGAGAGGGUGGCGGAAUUCCAGGUGUAGGAGUGAAAUCCGUAGAUAUCUGGAGGAACAUCAGUGGCGAAGGCGGCCACCUGGACCG
RNAcentral lists this ribosomal RNA (722 nucleotides) under Desulfovibrio piger. RNAcentral describes it as "bacterial SSU rRNA". It matches the Rfam family "Bacterial small subunit ribosomal RNA", at positions 31 to 736 of the family's 1533-position model. Lineage: Bacteria; Pseudomonadati; Thermodesulfobacteriota; Desulfovibrionia; Desulfovibrionales; Desulfovibrionaceae. The record is from RNAcentral.